CCUACGGGAGGCAGCAGUGAGGAAUAUUGGUCAAUGGGCGGGAGCCUGAACCAGCCAAGUCGCGUGAGGGAAGACGGUCCUAUGGAUUGUAAACCUCUUUAGGCGGGGAGCAAUGCCGGGCACGUGUGCCCGGAGGGAGAGUACCCGCAGAAUAAGCAUCGGCUAACUCCGUGCCAGCAGCCGCGGUAAUACGGAGGAUGCGAGCGUUAUCCGGAUUUAUUGGGUUUAAAGGGUGCGUAGGCGGAUUGUUAAGUCAGCGGUAAAAUGUCGGGGCUCAACCCGGGCCGGCCGUUGAAACUGGGGAGCUUGAGUGGGCGAGAAGUAUGCGGAAUGCGUGGGGUAGCGGUGAAAUGCAUAGAUAUCGCGCAGAACUCCGAUUGCGAAGGCAGCAUACCGGCGCCCGACUGACGCUGAGGCACGAAAGCGUGGGGAUCGAACAGGAUUAGAUACCCCAGUAGUC
Molecule: ribosomal RNA, 460 nt
Filed under: uncultured bacterium
Lineage: Bacteria
Description: partial 16S ribosomal RNA
Rfam family: Bacterial small subunit ribosomal RNA
Source: RNAcentral